Molecule: microRNA precursor, 230 nt
Filed under: Oryza sativa (Asian cultivated rice)
Lineage: Eukaryota; Viridiplantae; Streptophyta; Magnoliopsida; Poales; Poaceae
Description: partial microRNA MIR433c-3-as precursor
Rfam family: MIR812 microRNA precursor family (bases 12-216)
Source: RNAcentral
CUCCGUCCCAAAAUAAGUGCAGCCAUAAGUUUCCGCGCUCAACUUUAAUCGUCCGUCUUAUUUGAAAUUUUUUUAUAAUUAGCAUUUUUGUUGUUAUGAGAUGAUAAAAUAUGGAUAGUACUUUACUCGUGACUUAUGUUUUUAAUUUUUUUCAAAAAAAUUUCAAAUAAGACGAAUGAUCAAAGUUGGACGCAGAAAACCAUGGCUACACUUAUUUUGGGACGGAGGGA